Non-coding RNA from Onthophagus taurus, 623 nucleotides. NCBI's taxonomy places the organism in Eukaryota, Metazoa, Arthropoda, Insecta, Coleoptera, Scarabaeidae. The record is from RefSeq and is a predicted model, not a curated record.
UCCAAUUUCGUUAUCCUAACUUUAUUUCAUAAAUUAUUAAGUUAAAAUCGGGGUGUUUCUAUAUAUGUCGUGUAUUAGAACGAUUAUUAUAUCUCUUAAUUGAUUUAAAAACAUUUUUUAUUGGCGGAAAUAGAAGAUUUCAACCGGAAAUGUUUAUAGUUUUCUUUCAAGGUUUUCAUAACCUCAACACCAAAUUAAAUAAUCAACCCAAAAAAGUUUGUCGAUUUCUUCAUAGAUGGCGCUAGUUUCGAUACGAACAAUUUUGACGUUUCUCCAAUUUCGUUAUCCCAACUUUAUUUCAUAAUUAUUAAGUUAAAAUCGGGAUGUUUCUAUAUAUGUUGUACAUUAGAACGAUUAUUAUACCUCCUAAUUGAUUUAAAAACAUUUUUCAUUGGCGGAAAUAGAAGAUUUCAACCUGAAAUGUUUAUAGUUUUCUUUCAAGGUUUUCAUAACCUCAACACCAAAAUCUCAAGUUCGCCAACAUCGUCAUCGGAUUAUCCAGAAAAAUUCGUCAAAUUUUAAAGGUUAGUGUUUAUUUAAAUCUUAUUUGAUUUAUUUAAAUAAUUAUGUUAAUACAAAAAGUGAGUCACCCCCAUCUAGCGGUGCUAAAUCGUAUUUUUGAC